Non-coding RNA from Microvirga sp., 149 nucleotides. NCBI's taxonomy places the organism in Bacteria, Pseudomonadati, Pseudomonadota, Alphaproteobacteria, Hyphomicrobiales, Methylobacteriaceae. The record is from Rfam.
GAGAGCCGGAUGCGGGAGAUCUGCAUGUCCGGUUCGAUGAGCGGGGUGUGGAAACGGAGCAACGGCUCGGCUAGUGAGGCACCGCCAGGCGAAAGCGGCGGAAACAGAUAGGCCGAUCCUACCGCCACCGCGCCACACCUCGACUCUAC